UGAUGUGUCAAAGUGACUGUGGUUGCAU
This 28-nucleotide non-coding RNA is filed under the name Rattus norvegicus (Norway rat). The record is from RNAcentral. Lineage: Eukaryota; Metazoa; Chordata; Mammalia; Rodentia; Muridae.